RNAcentral lists this ribosomal RNA (774 nucleotides) under uncultured Neocallimastigales. Its description in RNAcentral is "partial large subunit ribosomal RNA". It matches the Rfam family "Eukaryotic large subunit ribosomal RNA", at positions 24 to 651 of the family's 3401-position model. Lineage: Eukaryota; Fungi; Neocallimastigomycota; Neocallimastigomycetes; Neocallimastigales. The record is from RNAcentral.
UAUGUGAUCGUCUCUCGCAUAUCAAUAAGCGGAGGAAAAGAAACUAACAAGGAUUCCCCUAGUAACGGCGAGUGAAGCGGGAAGAGCUCAAAUUUGAAAUCUUAAAGGGUUUCCCUUUACGAAUUGUAGUUUAAAGAAGUGUUUUCCUGUUGAGGUUUUGGUAAAAGUUCUUUGGAAUAGGACAUCAUAGAGGGUGAGAAUCCCGUAUUUGACCUUUACUUUCAACUUUGUGAUACACUUUCAAAGAGUCGGAUUGUUUGGGAAUGCAGUCCAAAAUGGGUGGUAAAUUUCAUCUAAAGCUAAAUAUUGGCGAGAGACCGAUAGCGAACAAGUACCGUGAGGGAGAGAUGAAAAGAACUUUGAAAAGAGAGUUAAACAGUACGUGAAAUUGUCAAAAGGGAAGCGUUUGCACCAGUGUUGUUUUUCUGAAAAUCAAUUAAAGAACUGUUUAUGCUAAGUUGUUUAGACUUUAUCAGCUAACUGUUUAGUUUUGAGCUUUUCUUUAAUGCACUUUUCAGUUAACAAGUCAACAUCAAUUUCUUUUGCUGUAAAAAAGCUUGAGGAAGGUGGCUUGAGAUUCGUCUUAAGUGUUUAUAGCCUCUUGCCUAUGCAGUCGGAGAGAUUGAGGUCUGCAGCGUAGAUCCUUCGGGGCUAAAUGCAUUUGUGCUAAGUUAUAGCAUUUUAUAGACAACUUGUUGACUAUGAUUUGUCUUGUAGCUUACUCGCUUAUGUUAUUUUACCUACGCUUAGGAUGUUGAAGAUAUGCGCGACACG